UACGUAGGGGGCAAGCGUUGUCCGGAUUUAUUGGGCGUAAAGAGCGUGUAGGCGGCCAGGUAGGUCCGUUGUGAAAACUCGAGGCUCAACCUCGAGACGUCGACGGAAACCAUCUGGCUAGAGUCCGGAAGAGGAGAGUGGAAUUCCUGGUGUAGCGGUGAAAUGCGCAGAUAUCAGGAAGAACACCCGUGGCGAAGGCGGCUCUCUGGACCACAACUGACGCUGAGGCGCGAAAGCUAGGGGAGCAAACAGG
RNAcentral lists this ribosomal RNA (253 nucleotides) under uncultured bacterium. Its description in RNAcentral is "partial 16S ribosomal RNA". It matches the Rfam family "Bacterial small subunit ribosomal RNA", at positions 524 to 776 of the family's 1533-position model. The record is from RNAcentral.